RNAcentral lists this transfer RNA (74 nucleotides) under Candidatus Omnitrophota bacterium. RNAcentral describes it as "tRNA-Arg". It matches the Rfam family "tRNA". From Rfam's summary of the family: Transfer RNA (tRNA) molecules are approximately 80 nucleotides in length. Lineage: Bacteria; Pseudomonadati; Candidatus Omnitrophota. The record is from RNAcentral.
GCGCUUGUAGCUCAAAUGGAUAGAGCGCUGGCCUCCGGAGCCAGAGGCUGUGAGUUCAAAUCUCACCAAGCGCA